RNAcentral lists this small nuclear RNA (93 nucleotides) under Cuculus canorus (common cuckoo). RNAcentral describes it as "U5 spliceosomal RNA". It matches the Rfam family "U5 spliceosomal RNA", at positions 1 to 89 of the family's 117-position model. Rfam says of the family: U5 RNA is a component of both types of known spliceosome. The record is from Rfam by way of RNAcentral. Lineage: Eukaryota; Metazoa; Chordata; Aves; Cuculiformes; Cuculidae.
AUACUCUGGUUUCUCUUUAGAUUGUUCAAAUCUUUCGCCUUUUACUAAAGAUUUCCAUGGAGAGGAACACCAGUUUAAGAGUCAUCGAGCACU